CUGAUACAUAACUGCCUUAAUAGUCACACUUACAGGCAUAUGAUUAAUGUCUAACAGAAAUACUAAAAAUGCUUCGACUUGUGACAGCACUUUGCGUUCUGCUCUGGAUACCAAAUUUUUGCAGUGCCAUCUCAGUAAAACAGUCACCGAGGUUUAUGAUUAAAAAGCCUGGAGAGCCCGCUCUGCUUUCCUGCGUGCAUGACGGUGGUAGCAGCUAUGACUACAUCUACUGGUAUCAACAGCUUAGGGGUCGUGGUGGGCUGCAGCUCAUGACCUACUCCUACACCAACAGCGAACCCCAGGAUGAAAAGGAGUUCAAAGGAAGACUGGCCACUACCAGAGACGGUGCAGAGAAAGGCAACAUCACAAUCAACAGCCUAGACGUUACCGACACUGGAAUGUAUUUCUGUGCAACAAGCUAUGCACAGCGAAGCAGCUCCCAUAGAGACCUAACAGAAAACUCCCCGCUGAUACUGCUAGUAAAUAAGUUUGUGCCCCAUGCCAAAUACCUUACAAGCACAAGAGCAUACUGAGCUGCUGUACCUCUCAAAUAUUCCUGAUUUUCCGUGGUGUCUCUGAGUUUGGUUCAGAAUUUUCCUUUUUCUCUCCUAAAAUUCAAUAGAUACUUUGAGAAAAAGAAAGCUACACUCAAUACCGAAUUAACUUCUUUUACUUCUGAAAUGCAUGCUAAUUGCUGUACUCUCGCUUUGUCACUUUCUAAAGCAUCGGUAUUAGUAUUUGAUGUGUGUCUUUGAUUUCAGGUCUUUAUCCCUAACUAUUUUUGGUUUUGUGAGAGGUCGAGAGCUAUGAUUGCAUCUAUUGUUUAAAAAGUUAUUGUAUCGAGACAGGAUUGUACUUAUUACAACACCAAAUAUAUAAAGAAGCUUCAGUGUGAAA
Molecule: non-coding RNA, 897 nt
Organism: Protopterus annectens (West African lungfish)
Lineage: Eukaryota; Metazoa; Chordata; Ceratodontiformes; Protopteridae
Source: the annotation of a RefSeq genome assembly